This 741-nucleotide ribosomal RNA is filed under the name uncultured bacterium. RNAcentral describes it as "bacterial SSU rRNA". It matches the Rfam family "Bacterial small subunit ribosomal RNA", at positions 46 to 783 of the family's 1533-position model. The record is from RNAcentral.
GCUUACACAUGCAAGUCUACGAGAAAGAGGUAGCAAUAUCUUGAUUAAAGUGGCGCACAGGUGAGUAACACGUAAGUAAUCUACCCAUAGAUUUGGAAUAACCCCGCGAAAGUGGGGCUAAUACCGUAUAAUGCAACGGCACCGCAUGGUGAUGUUGUUAAAGUUUAUAUGACGUCUAUGGAUGAGCUUGCGCCCGAUUAGCUAGUUGGUAGAGUAAAAGCCUACCAAGGCAACGAUCGGUAGCUGGUCUGAGAGGAUGAUCAGCCACACUGGAACCGAGACACGGUCCAGACUCCUACGGGAGGCAGCAGUGAGGAAUAUUGGGCAAUGCCCGGAAGGGUGACCCAGCAACGCCGCGUGGAGGAUGAAGGCCGUAAGGUUGUAAACUCCUGUUAGAGGGGAAGAAAAACUCCGAUAGAAUCGGAGACUGACUGUACCCUCAGAGGAAGCCCCGGCUAACUACGUGCCAGCAGCCGCGGUAAUACGUAGGGGGCAAGCGUUGUCCGGAUUCACUGGGUGUAAAGGGCGCGUAGGCGGGCUAGCAAGUCAGAGGUGAAAUCCUACAGCUUAACUGUAGAACUGCCUUUGAAACUGUUAGUCUUGAGUGCGGAAGAGAGAGACGGAAUUCCAGGUGUAGCGGUGAAAUGCGUAGAUAUCUGGAGGAACACCAGUCGCGAAGGCGGUCUCUUGGUCCGUAACUGACGCUCAGGCGCGAAAGCGUGGUUAGCAACAGGAUUAAAU